Molecule: long non-coding RNA, 4469 nt
Filed under: Macaca mulatta (Rhesus monkey)
Lineage: Eukaryota; Metazoa; Chordata; Mammalia; Primates; Cercopithecidae
Description: lncRNA (ENSMMUG00000054781.1)
Source: RNAcentral
AAUAACAAUAAAUGUCUCUGUCGCUCUGUGUAUCUCAGCCGCAGACCAGGCCGCCGACGGCGCUCCUCGCGCGGCAGCCGGGCCGGCCCGGGACUCUCCUCGCGGGGCCGGGGGCGGCGGCGGCGGGCUCGGCUGCGCUCUCGGGCCGCUCGGGGCUCUCGGCCGGCCGGGCCGCGCGGAGGGCGGACGGAGCGUGCGCGGGCGGCGGCGGCGCUCACACCAUGGCGCGGGGCCGGCCGUCAGGCCCCCGGGCGUCGCCCGCCGCCUCAGGCCCCGGCGCCCGCGCCCCGCGCCGCGCGCCUUGAGGACGGGCCCGGAGCGUGGGGCCGCGGCGGCGCCGAGAGUUGAGCGAGUGAGCGCGAGGCAGCGAGACAAAGAUAACCCGGGAGGCGGAGGCGGAGGCGGGGAGCGAGGCGGGGAGCGAGGUGGGGAGGGAGGGGGCGGCGGCGGCGCGGGAGGAGGAGAAACGGGACACCAAAAAUAUAUUCUGAGGAGAGAGAAAACAGCUCCCCCUUUCCUCCUCAGGCAGGAAAAACCGGCGGAAACGCACUCACACCCCUACCCUGCCGGGGAGGGCGCGGGCCGAGGCGCCCGCGCGGCGUGAAUAUUCAUCAGGGGUGGGGCCCGAACAAUGGCCGGGCCGGCGGGCAGUGCGGGCAGCGGCCCCGACACGACGCCCGGCGCCCAGGGUGCGGCCCCGGCGCUCGACCCCGCACGGCGCUCCCGAAAACAGCAGGAGCGGGGAGGAAACGGGCUGGGAUUUCCCCGGGGAGGAGCUGAGGUGGAGAAACGCCCCUACCUCGCGCUAACAACAAAUGACAGGAAACUGAGCUGGACCGACGCUAAGAGGACAGGGACCCUCGUGUCUCCCAGGGCAAGGUUGCGGGAUCCGCUGAGCAUCGCUGGGCUGCCGGGCCACAUCCAAAACAGCUCCUGUAAUUGCCUGGCGCUGCGCUCCCGGCUGCGCUCGGCUCUCUUUAAAUCUGUGUCUCUCCUACGCUGCUAUCCUCUAUAUCACCGUUGUGCCUGUUAUCUCCCACUUUAGAAUCAUUACCUAUUCUGGAAGUGCCUACACAGUGCAAGGCACUGGCUUAGCAAUUGCCUGGGAUAUCGGGAAGAUCGAGACAGCCUACCCUCAAAGAGUUUACACACUGAUAAUGGGCAUAAGACAGCUUCAUAAAUAACCACUAGUACAAAGCAGAACAGUGUCGAUUUUAGCAAGAUGGAAAGAGUACUAAACAGAUCUAGUGGAAAGUAUGCUGGAUUUGGGGCAAAAUUGAACUGGCUUUGAACCCUAGUUAUUUGUCCGUUGUGCAACCUUGCAUGUGUUUCUUCUGAGCCUCUCGUUCCUCUUCUGCAUACCAGAUGAAGACUGAAAAUGAGAAAAACAAGCAAGAGACAAGAGCCUAUGCCAGGGUAAUAAGGGGUGACAGGAGGUAUUAAUAUAAGAGGUCUUGAGACAGUAGAUUCUCUAAGGCUUGGCAUCUGAUACAAUACCAGAAGGCAGUGUAGACAAGAAGGUAAAAGAUUUGUUUGUGGUUCAGAAUUUGGGAGGAUGUCCACACUUGGGAAGAUGCUGUCACAACAGAGAAAAAGAUGGGAAUUACUAAAUGGUAGCAAGAAAGGAAGAUUUAGUUUUGAAACCAAAACCAAAGUCAAUUACCUUUUCAUGCAGGAGUGGUGUACACAUGCCCAGCUUGAAACUCCACUCUAGCACCCGGCAUCAGGGCCAUGUUUUCAAUUAACACCAUGUAUUAGCUUGGGCUGCCAUUACAAAAUACUAUAGCCUGGGUGGCUUAAAUAACAGAAAAUGUUUUCUCGCAGUUCUGGAGGCUACAAGUCCAAGAUCAAAGUUCUGGCCAACUCGAUUUCUGGUGAGGGUUCUCUUUCUGGCUAGCAGGCAGCCUCCUUCUGACUAUGUUUACACAUGGCCUUUCCUCAGUACAUGCUUGAGGAGAGAGAAUGAGCUCUCUGGUGUCUCUUACGAGGCACUAAUCCUAUCCAUCAGGGCCCCACCCUUAAGACCUUGCUUAACCUCAAUUACUUCCUUAGAGGCCCUGUCUCCAAACACAGCCACACUACGGAUUCGAGCUUCAACAAAUGAAUGGAGGGAUUGCGGGAGGGGACACAAGUGCUCAAUUCAUAAUAAGCUGUGUUUAGUACACUUGAGCCCAGGAGUUCAAGACCAACCUGGCCAACAUGGCGAAACCCCAUCUCUACUAAAAAUACAAAAAUUAGUCAGGCGCAGUGGUUCGCGCCUGUAGUUCCAGCUACUUGGGAGGCUGAGGCAAGAAAAUCGCUUGAACCCGGAAGGUAGAGGUUGCAGCGAACCCAGAUUGCACCACUGCACUGUACUGCACUCCACCCUGGGCAAUGGAGUGAGACUCUGAAAAAAGAAAAAAAAAAAAGGAAGAAAAGGGAGAGCAAGGAAGGAAGGCUGGCCAGUGCGGUGGCUCACGCCUGUAAUCCCAGCACUUUGGGAGGCCCAGGCAGGUGCCCGAGGUCAGAAGUUCGAGACCAGCCUGGCCAAUAUUUUUAGUAGAAACUCCGUCUCUACUAAAAAUACAAAAAUUAACCGGGCGUGGUGGUGCCUGCCUGUAGUCCCAGCUACUCGGGAGGCUGAGGCAGAAAAAUUGCUUGAACCCGGGAGGCAGAGGUUGCAGUGAGCCGAGAUCAUGGCACUGGGCUCCAGCCUGGGUGACAGAGAGAGACUCCAUCAGAAGAGAAAGAGAGACGGAGACAGAGAAAGAAGGAAAGCAAGAAAGUGAGACAUGUUAGGUGGAACCAGAAAGCAAAGCUGAGGCAGGGACCCAGUGUCACAAUUGAAGACAGAACCCAGAUGAUCAAUUAGAUCAAGUGAGAAACAGCCUAGCCUUGGCUCCCCAGAGUUUGGAUGGCAGACAAGCUUCUCCUGAGCUCGGCAGGCCAUGAGCUAUGAAUGCUCAUCUUCCUGGGAUACAGUGGACCAAACUGGCAGCCCUCUCGCACCCACGCACAAAUUCCAGAGAGAGCUUAAUAAUGCAAGAGCCUCAGGUGAACAGCAACAACCUCCUGUCCAUCACUUAUUGCCUAGGUUUUACAUUGUUGAAGAAUGUGGUGGGAAAUAGAUUUUCAACCUCAAAAUGGGGCAGGGUAAGGAGGGCAGGGGAUUGCAUAGAUAUAACUCGUUGAGGACUUAAGUCAACCAGAAAUAAAUAAUGAAAGUAUUGGUGAGCAAGCGUAAUGAGGCAAACAAGCAAAGAAAUGGUGGGGUGGGUUCAGAAAAAGCUUAAAAGGGAGGAGUGCAGACCUGACUUCUUACUCCCUGGUUGACAACUUGUUGAGCAAAUGCUUAUCCUCUCUGCCCCUCAGUUUUCUAACAUGUGAGAUUAGAGGAUUAGAUGAAAGGAUUGAAAGGUCCUCUGAGAGCCUUUGAGACACUGAUCUGUCCAACCCUGGCUUCAUCCCUAUGAUGGUUCAUAUCUCUUAGCCAGGAUGGAAGAGAGUGGCAUGAGUGAUGAAAGUUGUUAAUGGUACACGGAUAGUACUGUAGAUUUGGCAGCCAGGUUCAGCCCUUAAAAGACCAUCUAUGACCACUGGUAGAGUCAAAGUCUUUUUAACUAGUACCUCAGUUGAAUUAAAAGGAAGCAACUACUCUAGUGCACAACAGGAUGGAAGGCAUGGGAUGCAGAAACAGAUCAAAGGGCAGGAAAAGAAGAAGCAGACAGGGCAGCUCCAAUCCCCUACCCUAGCCACCAGAGCCAUGGACGUUGCCACGUCUGCCAAGAGGAAGUUAGCUUAGUUUGGGUUUCUCAAAGAUCCUGAAGCAAGGAUUUGGGUGAGUUUAUUUGGGAGAUGAUCACAGAAGCACAAAUCAAAGAGAAGGGCAAGUGAAGAAUGGGAUGAGCUAAUGAGUGUUAGUGAGCAGGUUACCUCUGCAGGCAGCUGGGCUAGAUGAACUUCGCUUGCUAGAAAACGUUUUAAAAAAACAAAUUUACCGUGUAUAUGUGUUCAUGGAAAAGAUUUUUGUGAACAUUUUAUAAAAAACAGAAUAGCCGGGCGCGGUGGCUCAAGCCUGUAAUCCUAGCACUUUGGGAGGCCGAGGCGGGCAGAUCACGAGGUCAGGAGAUGGAGACCAUCCUGGCUAACACGGUGAAACCCCGUCUCUACUAAAAAAUACAAAAAACUAGCCGGGCGAGGUGGCGGGCGCCUGUAGUCUCAGCUACUCGGGAGGCUGAGGCAGGAGAAUGGCGUAAACCCGGGAGGCGGAGCUUGCAGUGAGCUGAGAUCUGGCCACUGCACUCCAGCCUGGGCGGCAGAGCGAGCCUCCGUCUCCAAAAAAAAAAAAAAAAAAAAAAAAGCACAGAAUAAGCUGGGCAUGGUGGCUCACGCUUGUAAUCCUAACACUUUGGGAGGCUCAGGCAGGAGGAUUGCUUGAGCCCAGGAGUUCCAGACAACCGGGCAAGGUGGUGAGACCCGCCACACACAAA